AACAUCUCAUUCGGAUGGUCCAGU
RNAcentral lists this small nuclear RNA (24 nucleotides) under Arabidopsis thaliana (thale cress). Its description in RNAcentral is "snRNA_17319". The record is from RNAcentral. Lineage: Eukaryota; Viridiplantae; Streptophyta; Magnoliopsida; Brassicales; Brassicaceae.